Molecule: ribosomal RNA, 2172 nt
Filed under: Triticum aestivum (bread wheat)
Lineage: Eukaryota; Viridiplantae; Streptophyta; Magnoliopsida; Poales; Poaceae
Description: partial small subunit ribosomal RNA
Source: RNAcentral
AUGAAUCUGGCCGCCAUGGCUUCCACGCCGCAAAACACGGCGUCGACGCAUAAGUCGUCCAUUUUCAGAGCGACGCACCACUUCCACAUCGUGGGCUACAGAGUGCCGAGGAUCAACGGCCGUAUCAGGUCCGGCGACUUUCUUGCCGGCGGCCACACAUGGGCCCUCCUCUGCGACUUCGGUGAGAAAGGCGAUGAUCACCUCUCGUCAAUCACCCUCGAGCUCGUCGCCGCCGGCAACAGCAAGGGAGACGUCGUCGUCGCCAUGGCCAGCCUCCGCAUGGACGACCCGCGCGGCCGGUGGCCGGCUGCCGUGUGGCGGAGCGACGGCCACAACGUCUUCUCCAAAACCGGCAAGAGCUGGAAGCUAACGCUCCCAGAUUUGUUCCGUGGCCAUGAGGCGCGCUACGUGGAGGACGACUGCCUCACCAUUCUCUGCACCGUCGACGUGCUCGACGAGAAACCAGUUGCCAAAACGGAGAGCACGAAACGCUUCGUCGUCGCGGUGCCAUCAUCGCCGACCGUCUCCCAGGAUCUCGAAAAACUUAUGCUACCAGACGCGUCCAGCAGCGUACCACCGGACGUGACGUUCUUGGUGGAGCAGACCGAGAUCAAGGCGCACAAGCUCGUGCUCGCCAUGCGUUCGUCCGUCUUCGCCGCCGAGUUCAGGUGGCACGGUUCCGCUUCCACCGCGGGGGCGCGCGCCAUCAGGAUCGAUGACAUGAGCGCCUCCACAUUCAGGGCCAUGCUUCGCUUCAUCUACACCGACGAGAUGCCCAUCAAACCAAGCAAAAACGUGGCACGGCGCCCCUCGAAGGCAAGGCGCUGUGAAGCCAUGGCACGCGACCUGCUCGUGGCAGCCGACCGGUACGACCUGGAAAGGCUGAGGCUCAUGUGCGAGAAGAUCCUCUCUGAGAACCUCAACGCAUCGACCGUCAUGUCGACGCUGCUGCUGGUGCGUGGCCGGAAGAGCUGCCGGCAGCUCGAGCAAUCCUGCAUCGAGCACAUUGCAACCCACCCCGACGUGCUCGCGGCCGUGAUGGCGACGCAGGAGUACGAGGAGCUCAAGGAAACCUGCAGCCCUUUGAUACUCGAGAUCGUAGAGAGAGUUGCAAUGGCCAUGCAUGGCCUUGACCGCAACUCCUCCCUUCUGUCGGAGAAGAGCUCAUCGACGUUCAACGCGUCGGAGGAGGUGCACGGCUGGCACGACUUCAAGAUCCCCAACUUUAACGCCGUGCAGAGGAGUCAUGGCGUUGGCCAAAAGAUCCAUUCCAGCCCUUUUAAGGUCGGCGGCUAUGACUGGGUGCUAGACGUGUACCCAUCGGGGAGAUCCGACGACGCUGGGAAGUACAUCUCCGUUUUCCUCUCGCUUGUAUCUGAUCUUCCUAAAGGAUUCCCCGGCGUCAGGGCGUCCAGGUGCUUCAAGAUCCAAGACCCGAGCGGGACGUGGCCGCUCACCGUGAAGAGCAGCUCUGUCACUCUCUUUGGGGGGAACACCGCUAGAACAUGGGGUUAUCCCAAGUGUGUCGGCAUAGAAAAUGCGAAAUCAAAGUACAUGGCAAGUGAUGGCUCCUUGACCAUACGCUGCGAAGUCGACGUCACUAAAGAGCCCUACACUAGGGCUAGCACCAUUGGCGCCAGAUUCAUGGUCACCGUUCCUCCCUCCGAAAUCUCCACGCAACUCGAGCAGCUGCUGGCAAGCGAGAAUGGCUCGGACGUGGCCUUCCUAGUCGAGGAGAGCGAGAUCCGCGCGCACAAGCUCGUGAUCGCCGCGCGGGCACCAGCCUUACACGAAGCGGUGGUGGCCACCAACAACAACAACAGCAAGGAGGAUGACCACGCCGCCGCCAUGGUACGGGUCGACGACAUGAAGGCUGCGGUGUUCAAGGCCGUGCUCCAUUUUAUCUACACCGACGAGCUCCUUCCUGGAGAUGGCACUAGGUUGCUGACUGGGGACAUGCUCACGGCGGCGUGCCGCUUUGGGCUGACGAGAAUGAAGGCCAUGUGUGAGAACUUGUUGUGCGAGUCCUUGUCGAAAGACAACCUGUUGGCCACUGCGAAGCUCGCGCGCCGUCACCAUUGCAAGGAGCUUGAAGAUUACUGCAUCGAGUUCGUCUCCGCCCCAGACGUGGCCAAGGACCUGCUGAAAACAUUCAUCGGCUUGGAGGACUAG